UACGAAGGGGGCUAGCGUUGUUCGGAAUUACUGGGCGUAAAGCGUGCGCAGGCGGUUUUCCAAGUCAGUGGUGAAAGCCCGGAGCUCAACUCCGGAACUGCCAUUGAGACUGUGAAACUAGAGUACGAGAGAGGUGAGUGGAAUUCCCAGUGUAGAGGUGAAAUUCGUAGAUAUUCGCAAGAACACCAGUGGCGAAGGCGGCUCACUGGCCCGGUACUGACGCUGAGAUGCGAAAGCGUGGGGAGCAAACAGG
Molecule: ribosomal RNA, 253 nt
Filed under: uncultured bacterium
Lineage: Bacteria
Description: partial 16S ribosomal RNA
Rfam family: Bacterial small subunit ribosomal RNA
Source: RNAcentral